GGUCCUACGGGGCGCAGCAGUAGGGAAUUUUCGUCAAUGGGCGCAAGCCUGAACGAGCAAUGCCGCGUGAACGAGGAAGGUCUUCGGAUCGUAAAGUUCUGUUGAAGGGGAAAAAGAGCGGAGAGAGGAAAUGCUUUCUGAUUGAUAUUACCCUUCGAGGAAGUCACGGCUAACUACGUGCCAGCAGCCGCGGUAAUACGUAGGUGGCAAGCGUUAUCCGGCUUUACUGGG
RNAcentral lists this ribosomal RNA (231 nucleotides) under uncultured bacterium. RNAcentral's name for it is "partial 16S ribosomal RNA". It matches the Rfam family "Bacterial small subunit ribosomal RNA", at positions 335 to 558 of the family's 1533-position model. The record is from RNAcentral.